GAGGAAAGAGGGGGAAAGGAUGAACACAUGCAAGUCGAGGGGAAACGACGGGGAAGCUUGCUUCCCCGGGCGUCGACCGGCGCACGGGUGAGUAACGCGUAUCCAACCUGCCUCUGACUGAGGGAUAACCCGUCGAAAGUCGGCCUAAUACCUCAUGGCAUCGUCUGCGGGCAUCCAACGACGAUUAAAGAUUUCAUCGGUCAGGGAUGGGGAUGCGUCUGAUUAGCUUGUUGGCGGGGUAACGGCCCACCAAGGCUACGAUCAGUAGGGGUUCUGAGAGGAAGGUCCCCCACAUUGGAACUGAGACACGGUCCAAACUCCUACGGGAGGCAGCAGUGAGGAAGAUUGGUCAAUGGGCGGGAGCCUGAACCAGCCAAGUAGCGUGCAGGAUGACGGCCCUAUGGGUUGUAAACUGCUUUUAUGCGGGGAUAAAGUGAGGGACGUGUCCUUCAUUGCAGGUACCGCAUGAAUAAGGACCGGCUAAUUCCGUG
Molecule: ribosomal RNA, 491 nt
Filed under: uncultured bacterium
Lineage: Bacteria
Description: partial 16S ribosomal RNA
Rfam family: Bacterial small subunit ribosomal RNA
Source: RNAcentral